UAAGGAAUCUUCCACAAUGGACGAAAGUCUGAUGGAGCAACGCCGCGUGCAGGAUGACGGUCUUCGGAUUGUAAACUGCUUUUAUACGGGAAGAUUAUGACGGUACCGUAUGAAUAAGCACCGGCUAACUACGUGCCAGCAGCCGCGGUAAUACGUAGGGUGCAAGCGUUAUCCGGAAUCACUGGGCGUAAAGCGUCCGCAGCCGGCUCGUUAAGUGAGAUGUUAAAUCGUGUGGCUCAACCAUAUCGAUGCAUUUCAUACUGGCGGGCUAGAGGAAAUCAGAGGCAAGUGGAAUUGGUAGUGUAGCAGUGAAAUGCGUAGAUAUUACCAGGAACACCAAUGGCGAAGGCAGCUUGCUGGGAUUUUUCUGACGGUCAGGGACGAAAGCGUGGGGAGCGAACAG
This 403-nucleotide ribosomal RNA is filed under the name uncultured bacterium. RNAcentral's name for it is "bacterial SSU rRNA". It matches the Rfam family "Bacterial small subunit ribosomal RNA", at positions 355 to 775 of the family's 1533-position model. The record is from RNAcentral.